CGCUGGCGGCGUGCUUCAUACAUGCAAGUCGAACGAGAAGCUCACUUCGGUGAGUGGAAAGUGGCGGACGGGUGAGUAAUGUGUAGAGAAUCUGCCCUAGAGUGGGGGAUAGCAGUUGGAAACGACUAUUAAUACCCCAUAUGCGCGUAGCUGAGAUGCUAUUCGUGAAAACUCCGGUGCUCUAGGAUGAGUCUGCAUCUGAUUAGCUAGUUGGCGGUGUAAUGGACCACCAAGGCGACGAUCAGUAGCUGGUUUGAGAGGAUGAUCAGCCACAAUGGGACUGAGACACGGCCCAUACUCCUACGGGAGGCAGCAGUAGGGAAUUUUGCGCAAUGGGGGGAAAAACCCCUGACGCAGCAACGCCGCGUGAAUGAAGAAGCCCUUCGGGGUGUAAAGUUCUGUCAGUGGGGACGAAACUUGACGGUACCCACAGAGGAAGCAUCGGCUAACUCCGUGCCAGCCGCCGC
This 467-nucleotide ribosomal RNA is filed under the name uncultured bacterium. Its description in RNAcentral is "bacterial SSU rRNA". It matches the Rfam family "Bacterial small subunit ribosomal RNA", at positions 34 to 518 of the family's 1533-position model. The record is from RNAcentral.